UCUCAUUGUGUUGCUUCAAACUCUCAAAAGGCCAAGGAUGCAACUCGCACGGGGACGACAGCGAAGACUGUGCUCGGCGUCGGCCUGAGAUGAAGAUCAGCUCGAGAACAGCCGGGGAAAAGCAGGACAAGACGAGUCGCAGCUCAGCGGCAGCAGCGACGUACAGCGCAGUCACUUUCAUCAUAAAUAACGCCUCGCGCGGCGUCGACCUCGGCUGAACCCGUUGCUUUCCCAGCAGGCAGGUAGCUUUGUGGUUGGAGACAGACUACACCUGAGGGUGUUUAAUCUCCCCGGCUCCUGAGGAGAGGCUUUCGUGUGGGUUUAAUUAACUCCUUUAACAACCAGUGCGGGAUAAACACAUUUGGGCUCGCUGUCACCUAUCGGGGGAAUUAAAAGCUGCACGGAGGUGAGAAGGAUGGGAGUCGGGGAAGGAGGUAGUGGAGCAGAACUCAGCUUGCUGCAACCCAGCGGACUGACGCACCUAAAUGGAAAAGCCUGAGGGGGAGGGCGGGAGCAGCGAGAGAGAAAAUUAGCCUGCAGGCUCAGGAAAAGGCUGGAAUGAGUUUAACAGAACGAGUAAAUAUGGACUUCAAAAAUAUGGAAUAAUUUUGUAAAAAGCCUCAUGAAGAACGGUUUAUAAAAUAUGAUUCCGUAGGGAAAACACACAUAUGUCACAUCUUUCAGAAACAACGUCACUUCAGGCUGGUUGCACUUUCUUAUUUCUGUGUUAUUAGUUACUUUUACCUUCCGUUGUCAGCGGCGCCAUCGUGACCUCAGGGAUGUUCCUGGGUCCGCAUCAUUAAUAACCCUGCAUCAUGAUGUAUUGGACUUUAUUACUUGCCUUUGCACUGGAAGGUUGGGGAGUGAAACUGCAGCACGCUGCGCCUGGAAUUCAACAUUUCCCGGCAGAUAUGUAGGAGAACGUUAGCUCCUCGUGUCCAUCGGUUCUGCUGACGCCACCGAAACCAGUCACCGGAUCUGAACCAGGAGGUCACUUAUUCAUUUGUACAUGCAUCUUGCUAGCCCGAGUCCUGUCGCAAUGGUAUGUUUAAGCACUGGUCUCGUUCACAGCUCCAGAACAUCGUCAAGCGGACGUGCGACGAGACCGUUUCACUGCUAUUUUACUUUCGACAUUUGUCACCGUGGCGACGGAGAAAGGCUGGGAAAUGUUUGGCUCUUGUUAUGAGAGAACCCGCGCUCCACGCACACACCCCUGUUCCGAUUAGCCCAGGCAGACGGAGCACAGCACCAACACCCCCCGAAAUCAAUGUUCACCGAGGUAUUACUGUAUCUUGACAUGAUAAUCUUCUUUUUAAAUGCACCGCUGCACCCUUCCCUCCACCCAUGGAGCGCCGCAGACAGCUCAUACAUUAUCAUUGAGUGACUUUACUCUUUGCUCGCCCCUCUUUCUGUGUGUCACACCCACUGACUGCCCCCCUCCUCCCCCAAAACCACCCCCCCUCCACCUCUCUUUCUAGUUGGAGUGCCUCAGUGUGAAAACCUCAUUAUGUUCUGCUACUGGACCUGCAAACUCAAUUGGACAGAGAGCUGUAGUCCGCGCCUGAGCCGGCGCGUCAGUGUUUGUGUGAGUCUGGACGUGUGUGCGUGUGUGCGUGCGCGCGGGUACCUGUAAUCAAUAGUGAAUAAAUCUGGCAGGGCUCCAUCGGCGUGACAGCGCCCAAGCGGGGGACAUUUUCCAUUUUUUCAAGCGCCGGGCCACAAUGGCGGCAGGAACUGGGCAGGCUGUUAAGAGGCCUGUGGCCAGCCACACAUUUCACUAGGCUUUAACUGGCUCCUCGUUUACUCUGUUUUGCUGCCGGCCGUCAGAUUUUUCACGUAACACACUCUCAAGUUCAAUAAAAGGCAUCCUUUAGGAUCCCUGUGCGUUCAUGAUGAACGUGGACACACGUUAGAACGGGAAUAUUGGAGACUUUAAAAAUCUCCUAAGCAGGAGAAAUACACAGAAAUAUAGGCUGAUGCCGAGAGUUGCAACAAAUGGACUUAAGCCGUGUCUUUGUGGCUAGGAUUUGUUUUCAUGCUGGUGAGUUGAAUGUGAGACAACAGUGUCAUCUUUCCAGUCUGAUCUGGGUUUUGGAUGAGGCAUCUCUCUCUCGGACGCAGAGCACACACACACACACACACACACACACACACACACACACACACACACACACACACACACACACACACCGCCCGCGCGCCGCUUCCAGACGUGUGAUGUGUCGAACAAAGCGAAGCGGCCCGACAAGGAGCGGAGCAGGUUCCUCAGAGGAUAAUCCAACUUGCACUGGGCGCCCUCUGAUGAGUAAUAAGAAGGAGGAUUCGCUCAUGCUCCCAGAUAGCGAGAGGGUGAGACUCAGUUAAGUUUGCAUUAGCGCCUUUUUUCCCCCUGUCUCCUGCAGUGAGGAAAAGGAGAAGCGUUCUCAAACAGCCCCAUUCAUCAUCCUCCAACGCCCUAUCUCUCUGCGUCAGGGAUAGCCUUGUUCUCUCAGACUGUCCAGCUGUGACGGGGGAAAAAAACCUCUUAACUAACCUGAUGUUUCUGCAUCAGCCAGAGUGGCCGACACGCGGCAGAGCGGGGGACAGAAGCACAGCCAGUCGCCCCGAAUAACACCGUACCGCACAUUUCUAACAUGUUUGAAUGCGUGCGUCUGUUGACACGUUCACCGACUAAUUAGCUCCAUAGACACCAACAGCAGCGCACAACACAACAGCAGUGAAACCUUGAACAUGUAUUCACAGAAUAAUGACUCAGCCUCAGCAGUAAACACAAGACAAACGGGUGCAAACUGUACAACACACCACAAUCUACUGGAUGUAAGUGGAGCUGAAUAGUGCAACUGCUGUAGCUUCUCAUAAGAGUUCAGACCAUUGUACGGCUAAUCAAAACAAUGUGUGGUGAGUAAAAGGUCUAUAAUACAAAUGUUAACUAUUCAUGCCUCCUCAUACAAUAUGUACCAAGAUUGUGCAGCAUGUUACAUCUGAGACACUUAAACGAGGUCAUUUACAUUUAAUUUGAUGCCCAGAGACCAUGCACCAGCCCUGCUCGUACGGAGGAACAGCUACUGUAGCAGACCUUGCUCCGUAUCCUGAGCUACUCUGCACAGCACAGGCUGGUGUCAGCUGCAGGGCAGAUGAUGCUCCACUCAUCACACUUGUGCUGCACGAUGACUUAAUGGCUGUUUCUAUUCAUUUCCCCCCGACUACAGCUGACACUAACCUGAUAAUUACCAAAUAUUAUAGUUAUUUGUCUUGUCUCGUUCUCUCCCCGUUCCCUCUGUAUGUACCAAACUAAGCCUCGUUUUCCACUUAGCUCAAUGCAAGCAAAUGGCCUAAUGAUACUUUUCCUCUCUUUGUUGUGAAUGAUUACCCAUCAAGUUCAAUUUAAUGUCAGAGGUAAAUGUUUUGCUAUAAUGUUGGAAUUUGUAGAUGUUAUUAAUAGAGCAACCGGAUGAUAUCCGAGGGCAGCUGGACUGUGACAUCACAUUAUGAGACGUGGAUGUGGAGGUCUGUAUGGCCAGGCUCAAGGUCCUCUUAUGAUGCUGAGAGUAAACAAGAUGAGAGUCCAGAGAGAAGCAGGAUCAGCUCGGAUGUGCUUUACCCACUUACAAUGUGCAUUUGCAACAUACUGAUAAUGACAGUUGGGCUGUACUGAAAUAAAUGAAACCUUUUAAAGCAAUUAGAAAUACUGUGAAUGCUUAAAGCAUAGACACGGCCUGGUACAGUUAACUAACAUAUUUUAUCCACAAGAUUAGUUUCACUUCACACCUGUGCUAAAUAGGCCUGUUGGGUGAAAACUUCCUUCCCAGGUUUUACCUUCAUGACAAAAGGGGAGUAUUCAUAUUUUAAAUUAUUUAUAUUAAGCCAAAUUAAACUGAUUAUUUUCAGAAGAAAUAGGAGGUAAGCCUAGUUUUACAACAUUUUGUAGACGAGAUGGGCAGGUUUCCUUGGAAGAGUAAGGAUUUGUAAAAAUGAAUCAGAACAUGUUUAAAAAAGUCUCUAAUUCGACUCCAAUCUGUGUCAAGUAAUUUGUGGAGAAAUCUACAGUUCUUCCACAUGAACACACACUUUGCUCAUUGCGUUGUUCUCUCUGUUGCAGCCACGUAUUUUAGAGGAGAGAAGAAAAAAUCAAUCUGUAGUUUUUUGCAUUUUGUGGCGAGGGCUGCUGAAAUGAUAAGGGCCCGAAAAUCAAAGGGGGAGAGAGCGAGAGAGAUGCAGCGUGAACUCUGUGUCUGAUUACAACUUUUCGUGAUGAGAGACGCGUCUCAGCUCACAGCUGCUGGUUCCCGUCAGACUGUGCAAGACGGAUCAAAACUAAUGCUGCUGACAUGUUAUUGGGAGGAAACCAAAUCAUCCCACUGAUAGGUCCAUUAGUCACUAAAUAUCUUGCUGUGUGUGGAACUGAUGUGCGCAUCAAUAUUAUAGAGCUUUUUCUAUGUUAACAUUUCUUAUUUGAAUAGGGAGGAAUUAUGUCCUGUAUAAGAAUGACUGACAUCUGAGUAUAAUGGAGACGGAGGAUGUGUGUUAGUGUCUGGGCCAGUUCUCUGCUCGUCUGCAUCUCAAAUCUACCUGCAAAGCCUGCAAGGUUUGAAUUGUAUGUAUAUUUGCAAAAGCUUUACGCAAUGAAUGAAGAAACGUAAAAUAAUGUGUGAGUGUUUGUUUAUUUUAAUUAGAAAAUAAAUGAAAAAUAUAUACAUUAUUAUUACUGUAGAUGUGUUAUUUUUAACAGACAGUCAAACAGACAGAGACACACAGUGACCAGGUGGACCUUAAAUAGGCUCCAGAUGACAAGACCACACUGUACUGAGCAUCACAACGCUGUCAGGGCGCGUGUGUGUGUGUGUGUGUGUGUGUGUGUGUGUGUGUGUGUGUGUGUGUGUGUGUGUGUGUGUGUGUGUGUGUGUGUGUGUG
Molecule: long non-coding RNA, 4911 nt
Organism: Betta splendens (Siamese fighting fish)
Lineage: Eukaryota; Metazoa; Chordata; Actinopteri; Anabantiformes; Osphronemidae
Exons: 3
Source: RefSeq, a predicted model, not a curated record